Non-coding RNA from Aedes albopictus (Asian tiger mosquito), 68 nucleotides. The record is from Rfam. NCBI's taxonomy places the organism in Eukaryota, Metazoa, Arthropoda, Insecta, Diptera, Culicidae.
UGCCCAGCAACUCCUAUCUCUACCUCCUCGCGGUACCGGCCGGAAACUAUGAGCAACCUUAGGGAAGA